RNAcentral lists this ribosomal RNA (467 nucleotides) under uncultured bacterium. RNAcentral describes it as "partial 16S ribosomal RNA". It matches the Rfam family "Bacterial small subunit ribosomal RNA", at positions 28 to 507 of the family's 1533-position model. The record is from RNAcentral.
GAUGAACGCUGGCGGCGUGCUUAACACAUGCCAGUCGAACGGAAAGGCCCAAGCUUGCUUGGGUACUCGAGUGGCGAACGGGUGAGUAACACGUGGGUGAUCUGCCCUGCACUUCGGGAUAAGCCUGGGAAACUGGGUCUAAUACCGGAUAGGACGAUGGUUUGGAUGCCAUUGUGGAAAGUUUUUUCGGUGUGGGAUGAGCUCGCGGCCUAUCAGCUUGUUGGUGGGGUAAUGGCCUACCAAGGCGUCGACGGGUAGCCGGCCUGAGAGGGUGUACGGCCACAUUGGGACUGGGAUACGGCCCAGACUCCUACGGGAGGCAGCAGUGGGGAAUAUUGCACAAUGGGCGCAAGCCUGAUGCAGCGACGCCGCGUGGGGGAUGACGGCCUUCGGGUUGUAAACUCCUUUCGCUAGGGACGAAGCGUUUUGUGACGGUACCUGGAGAAGAAGCACCGGCUAACUACGUG